RNAcentral lists this long non-coding RNA (1296 nucleotides) under Canis lupus dingo (dingo). RNAcentral describes it as "lncRNA (ENSCAFG00020006774.1)". The record is from RNAcentral. Lineage: Eukaryota; Metazoa; Chordata; Mammalia; Carnivora; Canidae.
GGCGGUGGGAGCUGGCGGGUCACGGCGGCUGCGACGGGCGCGCCCUCGUGGCCUUACGUGGUCGUGCGUGACGUGCACCCCCGAGCGGGGACGCGGAGGGCGGGAGCGCGGGAAAGGCCGCCUGCUGGGCGGCGGCGGCGGUGGACGCGGUGCCCGCCCCGCAGCAGGGAUUCUCAACAGGGCUAAGGCUGGAGACACCAUUGGUUAUCUCGGUUGUCACAGGCAGAAAUGGAAGAUCAUGAGCCGACUGGAAUGGGAAUGAACGGAAAGAAGCGUGCUGUCUACGACCAGUUAGGAACAGGGAACACGAGUGUGGCUUGAGCUUCCUCAACCAUGUCGCUCAACCGAAUAGCUGCAAGCUGGGAAGUGCUGCGGAAGGCUAAUGUCGGGCAAACGGCCACUGUCAACGUGGGCCUCCUUCUCCUGAGAAACACAAUCACAGUAAUGGUCACUGGAGAGCCACUGGGUCGAGGUGAUAAAAAGCAAGAAAAUAGAAAAUAUUUUCAAGAAAGAAAGGAAGGAAGAAAGAAAAAAUGGGAGAAAGAAAGAAAAAGAGAAAGAAGAAAGAAGAAAGAGAAAGAAAGAAGAAAGAAAGAAAAGAAAGAAAGAAGAAAGAAAGAAAGAAAGAAAGAAAGAAAGAAAGAAAGAAAGAAAGAAAGAAAGAAAAGAAAGAAAGAGCAAGCCAUGUGAAAACAAUACAACCUAAAAUUCCAGUAUACUAUAGUGCUCUGGAUUGAAAACAUGUGCCUUGAGUAGCCCUGGGAUAAGAUCAUCUCUCACUAAAAGCACAGCCAUGGUCCGCCCUACAUUGUCCACCCUGGAGGCUACAUCUUACAUCACUUCUGUGUCCAUUGUCCCAGAGACAGGAACUGGAAUUUUAGCUCAUGUUACUUUGGAGGUUGUUCUUCACGCAGUUCAUGGAGUACUGGAAGGAUUUAGCAAAUCACCCUGUCCUAUUGGGAACUGUAGUACUCUCAUGGCAAUCAUCCUCCUACUCUGCUGCCCUUUUUUGGGCAUCAUGUUCCUACAAAUUACUAUAAAUUACUAUUUUCAUUCAUUUAAUACUGGAAUGAGACAAUGGAAUUCUUUUCUUUUGUGCAUGAGCCAAGAGAUAAUCUGUGUCAGGCUGAAGGAGUGAAAAAGGCAAUAGGGUUAGCGUGAAAAGCGACAGACCAACAUCAAUAUGCUAUGGACAACCACAUUUUUUUCUAUAGAUUACAGUAACGUGGAGCUGACUCUGGAUGCAAUGAAUCUUGUAAAUAAUUAUGGCUUAAGUUAUCAAGCUGUAAACUGGAC